GGUUAAGCGACUAAGCGUACACGGUGGAUGCCCUGGCAGUCAGAGGCGAUGAAGGACGUGCUAAUCUGCGAUAAGCGCCGGUAAGGUGAUAUGAACCGUUAUAACCGGCGAUUUCCGAAUGGGGAAACCCAGUGUGAUUCGUCACACUAUCAUUAACUGAAUCCAUAGGUUAAUGAGGCGAACCGGGGGAACUGAAACAUCUAAGUACCCCGAGGAAAAGAAAUCAACCGAGAUUCCCCCAGUAGCGGCGAGCGAACGGGGAGGAGCCCAGAGCCUGAAUCAGCAUAUGUGUUAGUGGAAGCGUCUGGAAAGGCGCGCGAUACAGGGUGACAGCCCCGUACACAAAAGCGCAUGUGCUGUGAGUUCGAUGAGUAGGGCGGGACACGUGGUAUCCUGUCUGAAUAUGGGGGGACCAUCCUCCAAGGCUAAAUACUCCUGACUGACCGAUAGUGAACCAGUACCGUGAGGGAAAGGCGAAAAGAACCCCGGCGAGGGGAGUGAAAAAGAACCUGAAACCGUGUACGUACAAGCAGUGGGAGCACCCUUUGGGGUGUGACUGCGUACCUUUUGUAUAAUGGGUCAGCGACUUAUAUUCUGUAGCAAGGUUAACCG
RNAcentral lists this ribosomal RNA (612 nucleotides) under Salmonella enterica. RNAcentral describes it as "partial 23S ribosomal RNA". It matches the Rfam family "Bacterial large subunit ribosomal RNA", at positions 1 to 652 of the family's 2925-position model. Lineage: Bacteria; Pseudomonadati; Pseudomonadota; Gammaproteobacteria; Enterobacterales; Enterobacteriaceae. The record is from RNAcentral. RNAcentral also lists the same sequence under 1 other name.